Homo sapiens (human) is the source of this 564-nucleotide long non-coding RNA. Ensembl annotates it as Smith-Magenis syndrome chromosome region, candidate 2. Its record names the gene SMCR2. The record is from Ensembl. NCBI's taxonomy places the organism in Eukaryota, Metazoa, Chordata, Mammalia, Primates, Hominidae.
UAUUUAAUCACAUCUGCAAGGACCCUCUGAAUGCUGUCUUGCCUCAACUCAUUUUACAGAUAAGAAAAUCAAGGCUCAGAGAGGUGAAGUCACUGAUCCAAAGUCACACAGCAGGUCAAAAGGAGAUCAUGUUUCCUGCCUGGAGGAGAGGCCCCGGUGGACUGGAAUAGGAGAAAGUGGAGGGGGUGUAUUUCAGGAUAGAAUCCUGCACCCUGCCAGGGACCACGCUUAUCCUUGGCUCACUCAAUAGGAUGCAAGGGCGUUUACUGUGGCCAGGUCUUGUGAGUGCCCAGAGCCCUGUGGCAAGAAGCCUCUGCCAGGGAAAGGGAUGCGGGGAAGUGGAGGCAGUGAUGGGGAAGCAGAGCCAGGAGAGACCCUUGGGCUUCCUUCCUUCAAGGCCUCUGGUCUCUAGCAGAGAGAAGAGAGGGAGCAGUGCUCUCUUGCCCUUCUGCCUUCCACCAUGGGAUGAUACAGCAUGAAGACCCCCACCAGAUGCUGGUGCCAUACUCUUGGACUUCCCAGUCUUCAGAAGCAUGAGCCAAAUAAAUUUCUAUUGUUUACAAA